Long non-coding RNA from Mesoplodon densirostris (Blainville's beaked whale), 1276 nucleotides. RefSeq lists it as uncharacterized. The transcript has 4 exons. NCBI's taxonomy places the organism in Eukaryota, Metazoa, Chordata, Mammalia, Artiodactyla, Ziphiidae. The record is from RefSeq and is a predicted model, not a curated record.
AAGCCCUGGAGACAAAGCCAAGCCCAAGUGCCCCUGGGUCUGCGUUCCAGGAGAGAGACCCAAAACAAAUAAACAAAGGGGAAAACUGAGGCUCGGAGAGCCGAGUGCCGUGGUUAAGGAUGCGUGGAACGUAUGUGGCAGAGGGACUCUCAAACCCGGGUGCCCCCAACACCUGGAGGGCCAGCCCGUUCUGACGCCGGUGACAGAGGCAGAACCCCCUUCCCAGCCCUGAGUCUCCUCCCUGGUCAUCAUCCUGGUCACGCCAGCUAGUGUCCGGCUGAAUGGACGUGAGCCCUGGAGGGCAGGGCCAGCUGUCCCUCCUCUGAGCGCCCCCCCCCCAGAUGGGGGAAGUUCUGCACGAGGGUGAGGGAAGAAGUGGGCAAACUUCACCUGCAGCCCCGGCCCCAGAGCGGGCGCCGCCUUCCACACCCCUUCAGCCGGCUUUGGUGUCGUGCUCAGCUGGUUAAGGACACCAGCCGUUCUCCGGAAGACUUACAAGGAGGAUUAUUCCUGAGUGCUUGCCACAUGCCGGGGAUGGAGGCUGGCGGGGACAGGCUCUCCUCUGUGUCCUCACAAUGACACGGUAAAGAGGGCAGUAACGGUAGUCAUGGAGGCAUGGGGGCGGGUGUCCCUGCCACCCCCCCAGGAAGUAGAGCAGGACUUAGGACGUGGCUCCUAUAGCAUAAUUAAAUGCCCACGUGACCACCUGGAUGGACACGGCUGCUGGAAAGGCCCCUCCAGGUGUGCGGCCGUCACCCCCAACCGCUCCCGUGGCAUUCAUCUGUACGUUAUAGAGAGGCUCUUACGGCUGCGCAGGGCAAAGCACCAAAAGGACUCGUAAAGCUCGUCUGAUGAUUUGGGGUUUCAAGCGCUGGAGGUCAAUACAUCUGAGUGCCACAGCCCUCAGCUCUGCACACAUGACGUCGGCUGAGAUUAAAUGCAUCCAACACCUUCGGUGGACGUACUUCCUCCUCCGGCCGGUCAUUUUACAGCCCCGUGCUCCCUGGAUCCAGCUGUCACAGGAAGGCGAGGCCAGGGUUUUCAUGAGUCCCCCUUGACCAGACUCCCUUCAAGGGUGAGGGGCCACGGGCUGAAAAAUGACUCCAGGGGCACAACAGCCUGCUGGGCACCCCGGGAGGCCCUCUGUCCAGCUGCAGGCGUGGCCACACAUCACACAGAGCCGUCAGCCCCAGCCCAUAGCGACCAGACCUGAGACUAUCGAAUUUGAGGCAAAUGUGCAGGGUUUCGAUGUGGGAGAUUUAUGACCAUGCCAGAC